This 253-nucleotide ribosomal RNA is filed under the name uncultured bacterium. RNAcentral describes it as "partial 16S ribosomal RNA". It matches the Rfam family "Bacterial small subunit ribosomal RNA", at positions 524 to 776 of the family's 1533-position model. The record is from RNAcentral.
UACGGAGGGUGCAAGCGUUGUUCGGAUUUAUUGGGCGUAAAGCGCGUGUAGGCGGUUUCUUAAGUCUGAUGUGAAAGCCCCGGGCUCAACCCGGGAAGUGCAUUGGAUACUGGGAGACUUGAAUACGGGAGAGGGUAGUGGAAUUCCUAGUGUAGGAGUGAAAUCCGUAGAUAUUAGGAGGAACACCGGUGGCGAAGGCGGCUACCUGGACCGAUACUGACGCUGAGGCGCGAAAGCGUGGGAAGCAAACAGG